GAACGAGAAAGUGGAGCAAUCCAUGAGUAAAGUGGCGACCGGGUGAGUAACACGUGACUAACCUGCCUUCGAGUGGGGGAUAACCUCGGGAAACCGGGGCUAAUACCGCAUAAUGCCUUCGGGUUAAAGGAGCAAUUCGCUUGAAGAGGGGGUCGCGGCUGAUUAGCUAGUUGGCGGGGUAACGGCCCACCAAGGCGAUGAUCGGUAGCCGGCCUGAGAGGGCGCACGGCCACACUGGGACUGAGACACGGCCCAGACUCCUACGGGAGGCAGCAGUGGGGAAUAUUGGACAAUGGGCGCAAGCCUGAUCCAGCAAUGCCGCGUGAGUGAUGAAGGCCUUAGGGUUGUAAAGCUCUUUCGGCGGGGACGAUGAUGACGGUACCCGCAGAAGAAGCCCCGGCUAACUUCGUG
RNAcentral lists this ribosomal RNA (411 nucleotides) under uncultured bacterium. RNAcentral describes it as "bacterial SSU rRNA". It matches the Rfam family "Bacterial small subunit ribosomal RNA", at positions 64 to 507 of the family's 1533-position model. The record is from RNAcentral.